This 305-nucleotide ribosomal RNA is filed under the name uncultured bacterium. Its description in RNAcentral is "bacterial SSU rRNA". It matches the Rfam family "Bacterial small subunit ribosomal RNA", at positions 335 to 637 of the family's 1533-position model. The record is from RNAcentral.
UUUCCUACGGGGGGCAGCAGUGAGGAAUAUUGGUCAAUGGGCGGGAGCCUGAACCAGCCAAGUCGCGUGAGGGAAGACGGUCCUACGGAUUGUAAACCUCUUUUGCCGGGGAGCAACGGGGUCCUUGCGAGGGCCCAAUGAGAGUACCCGGAGAAAAAGCAUCGGCUAACUCCGUGCCAGCAGCCGCGGUAAUACGGAGGAUGCGAGCGUUAUCCGGAUUUAUUGGGUUUAAAGGGUGCGCAGGCGGCCUGUUAAGUCAGCGGUAAAAGCCCGGGGCUCAACCCCGGCGAGCCGUUGAAACUGGC